Oncorhynchus mykiss (rainbow trout) is the source of this 3194-nucleotide RNA transcript. It is a transcript of the gene named selenoprotein Pa-like, with no coding region annotated. The record is from RefSeq and is a predicted model, not a curated record. Lineage: Eukaryota; Metazoa; Chordata; Actinopteri; Salmoniformes; Salmonidae.
UCUCUCUCUCUAUCACACACAGAUGUGCAGAAGUGCAUAUGCACAGAACCCCAUCAUGAACUUUGUCUUCCUUUCGGGUAUACAGGAAAAUAACAGUGUGAGUAUAAAAGGGGGGAGCAGAGGGAGUUGUUGUUGUUCCAAAAGCUACUGCUAGACAGAGCUGAACUGACUAAGGAGGGACAUUUUAACAGAGGUCUCUCUCUUCUACUCACACACACUCAGCAGAUCGAGCCUGCUGCAAGGCACCGUGAUGAAGGCGGGGCUCAGCCUGCUCCUGGCUCUCUGCCUGCUCCCUGGGGGCGGAGCAGAGAGUGAGGGGGAGGGGACCCGCUGUAAGCCACCACCUGGUUGGAGCAUUGGGGAGGUGGAGCCAAUGAAGGGGGUUAUGGGCCAGGUCACGGUGGUGGCCCUCCUCCAGGCCAGCUGAUCGUUCUGCUUGGUGCAGGCAUCCUUAUUGGAUGAGCUGCGCCUGAAGCUGGAGGGCCAGGGUCUGGACAAUGUGACCUAUAUGGUGGUGAACCACCAGGGGGAGCAGGCCCAGCACCUUCACACCUUGCUGAGCCAGAAACUGUCUGAGAACAUCAUAUUGUACAAACAGGUACCCAAACAGGAUGACGUGUGGCAGGCCCUGGCUGGAAAGAAGGAUGACUUCCUCAUCUAUGACAGGUGUGGUCGUCUGACCCACCAUAUCUUCCUCCCCUUUUCCAUCCUGGGUACUCCCUACGUAGAGAACGCCAUUAAGGAGACCUACUGCCAACGCAUCUGUGGGGACUGCACGUAUGAGAACACAGAGAUCCCAGCAGAGUGCAACAGGAUGUUAGAGGUAAAGCCUGAGGGAGAAGAGAAGCCAGUCACUGGAGGGGAUACACCUCACGGUGGACGCGGCCAUCAUCACCAUGGCAAUGGGCACGGUCACCAUGGCAAAAGCCAUGGUCACGGUCACGGUCACCAUGGCGAGAGUGAGGUGGGGCGCGAACACGGUCGUGGCCAUGGGGUGGAGCAGCAGCAGCACCAAAAUGGCGCUGAGGGGCUCCACCAUGGCCAGGCCCAUGGCCAAGUGCACGUUGGUCAGGAGCAUAUGGGUCAGCAGCCCAAGGAGGUGCAGGAAGGGCAUAUUAUGCAGAGGCCCUGAGUGAAGGGGAGGGCCAGGUGAAAGGCAGAGCUCAGCUGACAUUUGAAGGAGGGGUCUGACAUAAGUCCCUCCUCCAAGGUCAGCUGAUGCUGACACUGACGGGGGCUGUUUGGCAAUGGGGUGCGCAACGAGCCAAUCGGGCUCUGACACUGUGAUGAGGCGCUGCCCGCCUCCUGACAGUGACAGGGACUGAUGGGCGACUCCAACAAUCACAUCAGGGAGACCUGACAGUGACGCUUGCCCCCCACAGACUGACAGCAGCCUCUGCCAGUGAUGUCAGCCUGAUCCCCGGGUGUUGAAACCUGAAGCUGAGAGCAGCUGUAAGCAGGGCCAUGGCUCUGUGAAAGUUAUCUUGCUUAUAGGCCUCAUAUUAACAUCUGUGAGACCAACACCGGGGCAAAGGGCUCAUACCAUCUUACCAACUAGUAUUGCUCCGGUACUGUAAAGCCACACUUGAUAGAGAGGGAUGGAGGAAUACAUUGGGUCUGGUAGAAGAAUGCUAAGCCUAAACCUGUUACGAUAUGGGGAAUAGGAUGGUAUUUGAGAUGUACCCAAAGGGAUAGUAUGACAUCAAGGAAGGUAGCCUCCACCCUCUCUUUCUCUGUCGGUGCAUUGGUGUCACCAUCCCGGGAGUGUAUUGGGUGACUAUUUUGAUGUUUCUCCCCCUCCGUUUUGCUCCCUCCAUCCAAAAUGAAGGUAGGCACAGAAACUACGCUGUAGUGGUGUCUGUCUGAUGUCCGGCUGGGGAGAGGGGAGGGUGAGGGCCAUACAAUAUGACCACCCCCUUAAUUCAAAGUUCAUAAUAUCGAGAGCUUUAGAAGGAGUAUGAAGGAGUAGCGUCCAAUGUUGAAAUAAACUGAAAUCAUGGCCAGAAAUGCAAGAUUUGAACCAAAGUUAGACAUUGUUAUAUUCAGCGUUAGUUAGACAUUGUUAUAUUCAGCGUUAGUUAGACAUUGUUAUAUUCAGCGUUAGUUAGACAUUGUUAUACUCAGCGUUAGUUAGACAUUGUUAUACUCAGCGUUAGUUAGACAUUGUUAUACUCAGCGUUAGUUAGACAUUGUUAUAUUCAGUGUUAGUUAGACAUUGUUAUACUCAGCGUUAGUUAGACAUUGUUAUACUCAGCGUUAGUUAGACAUUGUUAUAUUCAGCGUUAGUUAGACAUUGUUAUACUCAGCGUUAGUUAGACAUUGUUAUAUUCAGCGUUAGUUAGACAUUGUUAUACUCAGCGUUAGUUAGACAUUGUUAUACUCAGCGUUAGUUAGACAUUGUUAUAUUCAGCGUUAGUUAGACAUUGUUAUACUCAGCGUUAGUUAGACAUUGUUAUACUCAGCGUUAGUUAGACAUUGUUAUAUUCAGCGUUAGUUAGACAUUGUUAUACUCAGCGUUAGUUAGACAUUGUUAUACUCAGCGUUAGUUAGACAUUGUUAUAUUCAGCGUUAGUUAGACAUUGUUAUAUUCAGCGUUAGUUAAACAUUGUUAUAUUCAAUGUUAGUUAGAUAUUGUUAUAUUCAGCGUUAGUUAAACAUUGUUAUAUUCAGUGUUAACAAAACACAUUUGAAUAAAAUACAUUAUUGAUAGAGUAAGAUUUUUCUAUUAUGACCCCAUCAACCUUUUCAACUUUUUCUUCAACUAAAAAUCUAAUGUCACUCCUUUCAAGCAACAACAUUUAUUUGUACCUUUGAAUUAACGCUGUGUUUAUUAAAGCAGUAGUGUGUUUUGUAGACAAAAUUCAAUAUUCAUAGCGUACAGCUGUGAUAAUGUGUGUUUAGUUUUCCAUGUUUCUGUCACUGUUAUUGCUGUUGGCAAUAUUACACAUAUCUAUAAUGCACUGUUCAUGAACUAACAAAACAAAGUGACCGCUUUUCAACCAACAAAAAAACAGCUGGAAUGAAGGUGGGUAGAGAGAAAUAUUGAAUAUACUGUACUUAAUGAAGGUCUCUGGGGAAGACUACGGUCACCUAGAACACCCUAUGCUUUGUACAGAACAAAUUCUUUCUGACUGUGGAGUGUAGGUGGUGGAACAUGUAAGAAAAUAUCAAUAAAGGUGGUUGAUGCACUCAUA